GGGCCCGCACAAGCGGUGGAGCAUGUGGUUUAAUUCGAUGCAACGCGAAGAACCUUACCUGGUCUUGACAUCCACGGAAGUUUUCAGAGAUGAGAAUGUGCCUUCGGGAACCGUGAGACAGGUGCUGCAUGGCUGUCGUCAGCUCGUGUUGUGAAAUGUUGGGUUAAGUCCCGCAACAGCGCAACCCUUAUCCUUUGUUGCCAGCGGUCCGGCCGGGAACUCAAAGGAGACUGCCAGUGAUAAAUACCCCCCCCGGAGGAAGGUAGGGG
This 269-nucleotide ribosomal RNA is filed under the name uncultured prokaryote. Its description in RNAcentral is "partial 16S ribosomal RNA". It matches the Rfam family "Bacterial small subunit ribosomal RNA", at positions 917 to 1179 of the family's 1533-position model. The record is from RNAcentral.